This 491-nucleotide ribosomal RNA is filed under the name Escherichia coli. RNAcentral's name for it is "bacterial SSU rRNA". It matches the Rfam family "Bacterial small subunit ribosomal RNA", at positions 1 to 481 of the family's 1533-position model. The record is from RNAcentral. Lineage: Bacteria; Pseudomonadati; Pseudomonadota; Gammaproteobacteria; Enterobacterales; Enterobacteriaceae.
AAAUUGAAGAGUUUGAUCAUGGCUCAGAUUGAACGCUGGCGGCAGGCCUAACACAUGCAAGUCGAACGGUAACAGGAAACAGCUUGCUGUUUCGCUGACGAGUGGCGGACGGGUGAGUAAUGUCUGGGAAACUGCCUGAUGGAGGGGGAUAACUACUGGAAACGGUAGCUAAUACCGCAUAACGUCGCAAGACCAAAGAGGGGGACCCUCGGGCCUCUUGCCAUCGGAUGUGCCCAGAUGGGAUUAGCUUGUUGGUGGGGUAACGGCUCACCAAGGCGACGAUCCCUAGCUGGUCUGAGAGGAUGACCAGCCACACUGGAACUGAGACACGGUCCAGACUCCUACGGGAGGCAGCAGUGGGGAAUAUUGCACAAUGGGCGCAAGCCUGAUGCAGCCAUGCCGCGUGUAUGAAGAAGGCCUUCGGGUUGUAAAGUACUUUCAGCGGGGAGGAAGGGAGUAAAGUUAAUACCUUUGCUCAUUGACGUUACCCG